GGGGAUGUAUUGCUUCGACGUUCAGCGCUCAUUAACAUCUGCAGAUUAUCUUUGAUCACAGAUAUAAACAAAGAUCAAAAAAACAACUGUCAAUAAAAUGAACAGUAUAGUUGCAUCUGUAAGAAGUUUCAUCAACGAUUCUUUUUCAUUUGGAACUCCAGCUUACGCAAACGUAAAUUUUGCAUAAGUAGGCAUUUAACACACCAUUCUCAGUGGCGGUGAGUGUUAGGUGAAAACCCAGUCACUGUGUCAGCGAGCUUGUUUCUACCAGAACUCGUGAAAGACUUUCGGUGGAAAGUGACGAGGAAGUGUUUGGGUUUUAUCAGCCUCGUCAUCACUUAAAGAUACCCUAUGUCUGUAGACGAUGUUUUUGUUCCUGGGCGGACAGGGGUUCAUAACCCCUCAUCUCCACAA
RNAcentral lists this transfer-messenger RNA (414 nucleotides) under Candidatus Pacebacteria bacterium CG_4_10_14_0_8_um_filter_42_14. It matches the Rfam family "transfer-messenger RNA". From Rfam's summary of the family: Bacterial tmRNA, also known as 10Sa RNA or SsrA, is named for its dual tRNA and mRNA-like properties. Its role is to liberate the mRNA from a stalled ribosome. The record is from RNAcentral. Lineage: Bacteria; Bacillati; Minisyncoccota.